RNAcentral lists this long non-coding RNA (42440 nucleotides) under Gossypium barbadense (sea-island cotton). RNAcentral describes it as "long non-coding RNA (GBAR_LNC013164)". The record is from RNAcentral. Lineage: Eukaryota; Viridiplantae; Streptophyta; Magnoliopsida; Malvales; Malvaceae.
UGCUUAAUUUGCUUGUAAGCGGCCUUGUUAACCUCGAAGGAGACCGAUGGAGCAAGCGUAGAAAAAUCAUAAACCCUGCAUUUCAUCAAGAUAAGUUGAAGGUAUAGAAUAGUGAUGGGUAAUCAGACUUUACAGAAAACAUCAUACUUAAACCAAUGCUUUUCUGAUUUAGAAAUAAUUGGAUGCAGAAUAUGUUGCCAGCAUUUUAUCAAAGUUGUAGUGACAUGUUAAGCAAAUGGGAGAAGAUGGUGUGUACAGAAGGAUACAGUGAGUUAGAUGUGAGGCCUUAUCUCGUAGAUUUGACAAGAGAUGUGAUUUCCCGAUCUGCUUUUGGAAGCAGCUUCGAAGAAGGCAAACGAAUUUUCCAAUUACUAGAGGACCAACUCGUUCUCACAAUCAAAUUAAUACAAACUGUUUACAUUCCAGGAUGGAGGUAACCGUCAACUUAAUUUACUUGAAAAAGGUUGCAAAUCUUGGAAUUGGCUAAAUUCGUGUUUGUUUUCUUGAAGGUUUUUGCCAACGAAGACAAACAGGGAGAUGAAGAUGAAACACAGAGACAUAAAAGAGUCGCUUAGGGAAAUGAUAAAGAGAAGGGAGAAGGCAAUUAAAGCAGGGGAAGAGAGCAAUGAGGACUUGUUGGACAUACUUGUGGAAUCCAAUAUCAGAGAAAUGGAAGCAAAGAAUAUGGGGAUGAGCAUUGAGGAUGUGAUUGAGGAAUGCAAGCUGUUUUACUUUGCUGGCCAAGAGACCACUUCGGUCUUACUGGUGUGGACUAUGGUUUUAUUAGCAAGGUAUCCCGAUUGGCAAAGUAAAGCAAGAGAGGAGGUUUUGCAUGUUUUGGGUGACAAUAAACCUGAUGCUGAUGGCCUUAAUCGUCUCAAAGUUGUAAGUCCCUAGCAUGUCUUUUGAAGGUCCGAUCAAUGAGGUCGACAACUCAAAAACUUUGUUUCUUUUUUCGCUAAUUCUACAGGUAACGAUGAUAUUGUACGAGGUUCUAAGGCUGUACCCACCGGUGGUUGAGCUAGGACGUUCCGUUCCAAAAGAAAUAAAACUGGGGAAUUUGUUGUUACCAGUAGGAACAGAAGUUUCGGUUCCGAUCCUGCAGAUCCACCAUGACAAAGAUCUUUGGGGUAACGACGCACGGGAAUUUAAGCCAGAGCGGUUCGCGGAAGGGGUUUCCAAAGCAACAAAGAGUCAAGUCACGUUUCUGCCAUUCGGAUGGGGUCCUAGGAUCUGUAUUGGCCAAAAUUUUGCUUUGAUGGAAGCCAAAAUGGCGAUGGCUAUGAUUCUCCAACGCUUCUGGUUCGAGCUUUCCCCUUCCUAUGCUCACUCUCCUUACAGCAGGGGAACUCUUCGUCCACAGCAUGGUGCACAGAUAAUUUUACAUAAACUUGGCUGUAAUUGAAUUGUUAUGUAAACAAAUCUUUGUGAAAACAUAGCGUUUUAGUGUAUCGUCAAAGUCCGGUGUCUGUAAUGGUACAAAUUCGAUGCAUGAAUAGUAAAUUUUGAGAUGUUUGGUGAAGUCCGAAAUAAUAUGCAGAAAUUGAGCGUCUAUGGUGGACAUAGUUGAGGGACUAAUGUGGUAAUUAUCAAUCAAAUAAUUCGGUACAAAGACUUGUAUGGAAAUUAAAGCAGGGGGAGUUGAAAAUGACUACUCUGCUUUGGGCAUCAAUUUAGAAAGAUUUAAAGUACAACUGUGUUAUCAGUUAAGGGAUUUGUUUUAAAGAGGGAAUGACAAUUAAACCUCAUGGUUUAUUUGUGCAAGGGAACCGAUGAUGGGAUGAUUAUUCUUAGUGGUAAAAAAAACCAUUAUGGAGGUUAUUACACUUGUUAUCAUCAGCUUAAAAUUCGAAUGGGUUCAAGUCGGAUUAUAUCGAGCUUGUAAGAUGAGUUCACGGACCAAGUUUGCAUAAUAAAAUACCUAAAUGAAAAAAAAUUCUAUUUUAGAGGGACGAGAGCCCCUAUCAACUCCCGGCUCAGCCACUAAACAAUACCUAUAUCAUAUAAAUAAAUACCACCAUCUAAAAGACUCAAAGAAAAACACUCAACAAAGGAUAAAUAGAUAGAUGUUGGAUAAGUGUCCAAAAUAUGAUUUAAGUGAAGAUACAUGUGGUAGGUGUUACGGAAAUGUGAAGACAAGAAUCCCACUAACGUAUGGGAUGUGUGCAGUUGAAUGUAGGGAGCAAAAAGAGGAGUGAAUCAUUUUGGUAACAUUUGGACAAGAAACAUAAUGAACAAAAUGGAAGGAGAGGAAGCUAGUAAAAGAAUUUUUUUGGGUCAUAUAAUUUGUUCAUUUUGGAGUUGAAUUAUAAUUUUUUUAUAUAUUAUUUUAAAAUUUUAAGGAGUUAAAACAAAAUUAUUUUAUUUUCAGAUGGUCAAAGUAGAGGUGAUAAUGGGUUGGGCUAUUCGGCCCGGCCUGACGAUUCACUCGAAAAAUAGGAGGGUUUAGGUAAAAAUAUAGGCUCGAAAUAGGGAUUUGAGCAAAAAAAGAGUCCCGUUUAGAAAAUGGGCCAGGCCUCGGGUAAAAUUUUUUGGGCCCAAGCCUGACCUGAAUUAUAUAUUAAAUAUAUUUUUUAAUUUUUAAUCAAAUAUACUUUUUUUUAUUAAUUUGGUUAUUAUUUUAGUUCUAAUUUGUUUCAAUUUUAAUAUAACCACUUUUUAUUAUAUUUUCAAUUUGUGUAUUGUUUUAAGAAUUGUUUUAGUCUCAUUUUUUUAUUUAUUUUUUGUUUUAAUAAUUGUUUUAAAAAUUUUUAUUUAAUGAAAUAAGCUAAAAAAAUUAAUAUGGGCUUGGCCAGGCCAGGCUCGGGCCUAGUAAUUUUCUUUUGGGCCGGACUUAGAUAAAAUUUUAAGCCCAUAUUUUAAAUUGGGUCCUAACCUAAAAAAUGAACCUAAAAUUUUAUAUGGGCCCGACUUGGCCCUUGAUUACCUUUAGGUCAGAGCUAUCCUCGUUUUGCAUUUCUUUGAGAUUCAGCCUUAUCUACUGUGAUUGCCCACUCAAUUGAGGGUUGAGUAGAAAGAUUUGGUGAAGCAAGCUAAGCUAUCAAUCAAGGUUUGCAUAAUUAUUUAAAUGUAAUUCUAAUAUUAAAAUAAUUUUUUUAUUAAUAUAGUAUCAACAAGCAUUAAAUGUAAUGAUCAUAUACUAUUACAUUUUAAAGAAGAGAAAACAUGUUUGAACUUUAAAAACCACGUUACUAAAAACAUUAUCACAAACCUUGAAAUAUAAAAAAUAAUUUUUUUAAUAUAAUAAAAAAUUAAUUUUAAACCCGAGCUGAAUAAAAUUCUAAUUUUAGUUAAUGAUACGAACAACAAAUCAAUAUUCUAAGCCCGAGCCCUGCUCAUUUUUUUAAUAAACACCAAAAAUUUAUUUUGAAAAUAAAAAAUAAAAAAAAUAUUUUAAAAAUAUUUUAAAAAUAAAAAAAAUUAAAAAUAAAUAUUUAUUAUAUAUUCAGGCCGGGCCGGGCUAGCCUUGGGCUAAAAAAAUGGUGCCCGAGGCCCGGCCCAUUUUCUAAAUAGGCCUCAUUUUUUGUCCAAACCCAUAUUUUGGGCCUAUAUUUUUACCCGAACCUCUCAUAUUUUGGGCGGACCGUCGGGCCGGACCGGGCCGCCCGGCCAUGAACACCUCUAGGGCAAAGUCACUCAAUGAAUGCAUGGAAAGAAAUAUUGCAACUUGGUGACAGCUUUUGUUGGAGUUAUAUGCUUUUUUUUACAUAGUGGAACUUUCGGUGGAUUUUCAAGUUUCAUGAACUUUAUACCCUAGGCUUUACGUGAAAAAAAUCAUUGGACUUAAAAGUCUACCAAAAGUUUCACUAUAAUAAAUAAAUAAAUAAAUAACAUUGCUACAAGACUACAACAUAAAGUUACAAUAAGAGCUUAUAACUCAACAAAGGCUAUCAAUAAAUAAUCUCAAGCAAGCUAAAGAGAAAUGUUGAGAGUACCACUCAAAUAGUGAUUGACUUUAAAAAUUGAAAACCCGAAGUUAUUGUUGACACCAUUUUUUGGAUGAAAAUGUGUCGACUUGGGUUUUGAAAAUGAAAACGAAAACGAGAGUCGCCACCAAUCCUUUUUGAUAAGGUGUGACUGGGUCACCUUGAAAAGUGGUUGUUUUUAAUAAACGAUUUGAUUUUAUUAAAACAACAGUUUUGGUCCACGAAAUUCAGAAAAAUGAGUUCGGGAGUCGGUUACGCACGAGGAAGGAUUAGCACCCUCGAUACGCCCAAAAUUGGUACCUAGUUGAUUACUUAAUGUCUUAAUGUCGAAAAUUGAAAACUUUGGAGAAUUUUAAACAUACGAUCCUUGUAUUAAAACGUUAAAAAUUUUCAAGAAAAUGGGAUAUUUCACGUUAUUCGAUAAAGAGAAUCAUAUCCUAGUAAGUUAGGACACAAUAUCUCGAAUUUCCGAUAUCAUUUAAAACUUGAGUUUGAAAAGAUUCGUGUAAUAAAGUUUAAAAUAAUAUUCAAUUGUUUAAAUCAAAUGAAGAAAUCGCAACCCAAUACGUUAGGGCACAAUUUCUCAAAAUAUUAAACAUUGAAUAUUGCAUUUAUUUCGAAAAAUCCUCAUCUCGAGAAAACGUGUCACAUCCAAUGCAUUAGAAUACAACGUAUUGAAUUCUCGAUAACGAGCUUUUUCUCAUUUUUUAAAAGAGUAAUCUCGAUUAUUUAGGUUCAACGAAGAAAAUCAAAACCCAAUACGUUAGGGCUCGAUUUUCUCAAAGAUUCCAAAUACCGAGUAUUACUUAUAUUUUUAAAAUUUCUUUUUUGAAAUCCGAGUAAAAAUGAAUGCAAAAUAAUAAAUGAUGACAAUGUAAAUAAAAUGAUACAAGCAAAACAAUAAACAAUAAAAAUAAUCAUACGGGCAAGGUAACAAAUAAUUAGGAACUAAAGAAAGAGAACAAACAAUAAUAAACAUGCAAAUAAAUGAACAAAAUUAACAACAUGAUGCAAAUAUGAAAGAUAUAUAAGCACAUAUAUAUACAUAAAAUAAUGAGAAUAUGAAAAAAUGUGUGUAAUUGGACAUGUUUCGGAAUUAUUAUACAUUUAAAAAUCAUGUAAAUGUGUGUACAUACAUAUAUACAUAUAUAAUAAUCAUUAAAUAUAUAAAAAUACAUAUGUGUAGGUAUAUAUGAGUCAUAAAAUGUAAAGAAUAUAUACAAGAUAUAUUUUGAACGUAUAAAGUAUAUGUAAAUGUAUAUAUAUAAUAAAGGUGUAUGAAAGCAUAUUUUAUAUACGUGUAUUUAUAAAAUGUAUAUAAAUGUAUAUUGAUUUACCAAUACAUAUGGAUUUAUAAUUAUAGAAUAUAUAUAAAAUAUUUACAUAUAUACGUUUAUGCAUAUAUAAAAGUAAGUUAUUAUAAAAUAUGAGCAAGCAGAAUACAUAAAUAUAUAUACAUAAAAUAAAAAUGAAGAUGAAAAUAAUAUAAAACUACUUAAUAUAUUAAUAUAAUAGUAACAAAUUAAAAAAACAGAAAAUAAAGCUAAUAAUAAUUAAUAAUAGUAGUAAUAAUUAUAGCAGCAAUGAUAAUGAUAAUAAUAAUAACACUAAAAAAAUUAAUUAAAUAAUAAAAUUGCUAAAAAGGGAUUAAAUCGAAAUAAAAACAUAAAUACUGGGCGAUUUUGAAAUAAAAAACGGGAAGGACCGAAUUGCAACGCGCGUUGAAAAGGAAAGGGCCAAAACUGCAAAUAAACCACAGCCCCAAAACGCAGCGUUGAAAUGGACCAAGUCGAAAUAAAAAUAAAAUUGCAGGGGCUAAAUUAAAAAUAAGAGAAAAUAACGAAAAAUGAUCAAAUUGUAAUACGCUGCAAAAUCAGGGGGACUGCACGCGCAAAUAGCCCAAAAACUGAAAACACGCGGAUCCUCCGGGUCGGGUCGGGUCGGGUCAGGUCGACGUGCGGAUCCCCUUUGCUAAAACGGCGUCGUUUCAUGUUUAAUAUAAAUACUAAAAAAAGCUAAAAAAAACAGUUUCAUCUUUUUUUAAAAAAAACAGAGAGAAAACUCUCUCUUUUUCCCUCAGGUCCGGCCAUGGUCCGGCUUGGGAUUUCCGACGAGUCUCCGCCGCAAAGCCACCGUGUGUGGCGGCCGGAGGUUCAAAAUCAGACCUUUUUGGUCCUUUUUUAAAGUCCAUGGCCUCCAAGCCACAGAUCCGGGGCUGAAUCUCCUGAAUCGAAAGCCGAAGACCCAAAAAAUGGGGUGAAAUCCUUCGCCUUCCUCCCCCUUCCGGCGCUGCGCAGGUAAGGUUUUUUUUAACUCCUUUUUUACUAUCUUUAUUUAUAUAUAUACAUGAAGAGAAAAGAGAGCAAAAUAAAUAAAUAAAUAAAAACUUCAAAACUGAAGAGAAAAAGACCUUGAAUCUGCCUUAUUUAUUUUCUUUCGGUUGAAUCUGUUUUUGUUUGUUACAAAAGUUUCCAGGGAAGAGAAAAAAAAAGAGAGUUACAUGCUUGGCUUUUAUAGCCGAUAUUAAUUUCUAUUUUUUGUUUUCUUUUUCCUUUCUUUUCUUUGGCUGUUGCGUGUUUGCUUCCUUAUUGCAGGGUGAUUGACGGGAGUGGUUGGCGACAGAGUCGGUGGCCACUUGCACUGAUGAAGCAGCGGUGGCGGCGCUAGGGUAGGCUAGGGACGGCGGCAGUACUAGGGUUUCAGAAAACUGAAACCCUAGUUUGACAAAUUGGUUUCGGGCCUGUUGGGCUUUAAAUUAUGGGCUUUGUAAUUGGGUUUUGGGUUUAGGUGAUUUGGGUUUAGGUGGUAUGGGCCCGGGUCAAAUUUUGGGUAAUGGGAUUGGGGCAAAAUUGGGUUGUACAGUUAUAAUAUCCCAAACGAAAUCAAACUAUAAACAUUAAAUUUUUCGAGUCUUCUAGAUACUGUAAAAAAUUCAGCUCCAACGGACACCAAAUGAACCUAUGAUCGAAGAAAAUACGAAGACUAGUCUGGCUAAAUCAAUCUGCCAAACUUACUUUUUAUCUUAUCUUUAAUUUGCUGUGAAAUUCAAAACUACGUGUAAUACUCAAUUUAUGCUCGACCCAUUUUGUUAAAACAAAUAAAAAAGAAAAGAAAAACAAAAUAUUUAAAUUUAGCCCAAAUGUCCAUUUACACAGCCCAAUUACAAUUGCAAAUAAAAAAAACUAAAACUAAACCCGAUCCUAAGCAUCAGCCCAAAUUCGACCCAUGCCCAAAACGAAUUCAGAUGCAGAAACCCUAGCCCAGCCUUAAUGCAAGCAAAAGUCGAAAGCCCUAAUAGUUGGUGCGCCGCUCCUGUAACAGCCCGAUUUUGGGCCUAGUCGGAACAGUGGUUUUGGGACCACAAAUCCGACGAGAAAAAAAUGUAAUGGCCCGAAUUUUCAGAGGUGUCAGAACGGUGAUUCGAGAUCACUAAAUUCGACAAAUGGGUAGAAAAUAUUAUUAAUUUAGUAAGUAUAAGUUAAAUGUGAAGUUAGGAAAAUUUUUGAAAUGGUGAAUAGUACACUAGAAAUAAAUAUUAAAAUAAUUAGAAUCGAAAAUGAGGUAUCGAGACCUCGGGGAUUUUAAACCGAGCCAUAAAUAUUUUUAUAAAUAUUUAUGUAGUCUUAAAAAGUUAGUAUUAAAGUUUCGUUAAGAAAUUUUAAAGUUCCGAUAAUUAAUUGAACAAAAAGGACUAAAUUGUAACAAAUACAAAAUUAUGAGAAAUGAUUAAAUAGUUUAAAUGAUAAAAGGAAGAGGGCUUAAAAGGUAAAUAGACCCAAGGUCUAUUUGGGCUGCACGGCAAAGGCAUGAAAUCAGCAACAAAGUAAGGAGAAUUAAGGGCAAAAUUGGAAUAUUGCAAAAUUUACUUAAUAAAGUUAGGACCAAAGUGGAAUUAUCUAGAUUUCUCUUUAUUUUUCUGCAUUAUCAUCAGCAUAAACACCAUAGAAGGGUUUUCUUAAGCUGGUUCUUCCUAUUUUUACUGCAGGUAAGUUCAAUUCUUGAUUAUUUCUUGAAAAUUUUGUGUUUUUGUGACUUUUACAACUAGGCCCACUUAUUGUAUUCAUUAGUUUUUGAUUCUAUGAAAGAAGUUGAAAGUUGCUAUGAAUACAUGCUGGAAGUAUAUGAUGAUUUAGCAUGGAAUUAGAGCUUUAAAUUGUUCAUAUGCUGAUUUAUUGAAAGAAUUGAAUAGAAAGUGAAUGUUUGGGACCUAAUAGUAAAAGAGUUUGAAGAUAGAGUUAUAUGUGGAAAUUCUGAAUUUCAAUAGUUGUGAAACAACUUAUAAUGUCUAGGUUAAGUAUUAAUUGAGAAAAUUAAAUUAAUUGAGGGGUUAAUUGAGAAAGGACCGAAUUGUAUAAACUGUGAAAUUUGGGGCAAAAAGGAAAUCAACAUUUUACACUAAAGCAGUUUUGGACAGCAGCAGUAGUAUAACUUUGAAAAAUCACCAAAAAUUUUGAGAAUUGAAUUAGAGGGUGAAUAAAAUAUAAAAUUAAAGCUCCUUGAAUCUAGUUUCUCAUAGAAGAAACGGUGUAAGCAAUGGAAUUGUAAAUCAUGAGAUAUAAUAAAUUUUGUGAGACAAUGUCAUAAUGAUUUCGGGUUCCCCUAUUCUGACUUUGGAAAAUCAUCAAAAAAUUAAGAAAAAUAUGAGUUAUAAUUUAUAUGAUUACAAUCCUUAAUGAGUCUAUUUUCAAAGAAAAUAAACGGAAAUAUCAUCCAAAUUCUGUACAAUUAUAUAAUUCAUUUUUAGUGAAGAGUGGUCGAAACUGUCAGACAGCGAAAUAGGGGGAACUUUAAAGAAUAAACUGUACUAUUUGGCUGAACCAAAAAUUCUGAAAAUUUUAUGGUAAGAAGGUAUGUGAGUCUAGUUUUAAGGAAAAUUAACGGAUCUUAAUUUAGAGCUCUGUAGCUCUAGAUAAAAAUAAUUUAGUGACUCUGACUCAGAUAAAUAGCUUUGAAUGUACAUGUGAGUGAAUAGUGAAAUUAUAGCUAGUGUUGUUUAAGUGUGUUAUACACAUUAAGGAUAUGGAAUGGAGAGGAGGAGGAGGAGGAAAAAUUGGGAAAUAUAUGAAUGAUUUGUGUAUAAUUGGUCAUAUGCUUAAUUAUAAUUGAUAAACGAUGAAAUAGAAAUGAUGCAUAUAUUUGUGCAGUAUUGGUCAUGGUUUAAGCUCAUGUGGGAAAAUAAAGUUUAUAGUACGUGUGUAUUAUAUUUUUGGUAUAUGAUUUGGCAUUAAGUAAUGUCGUGAAUGGAUAUUGAAUUAACACAUGUUGGAAAGUUUGAUAUAUGAAUAAAUAUUGUGAUCAUGAAAGAGUGUUACAGCUCCUGCCUUCAGCACGCGUCGAGCCUCCGCGCCAAAUCCACGUGAGCCUCCGUACACUCCAACUAGCCUCCGUACCUGCAACAAACAAAAGUAGACAAAACAACAGCAAAGGAUAGGAAGAAAAGGCAGUAAAUAGUGAAGAUUUUUCUGUAAUUUUCUUUGGAUUUCAUUAUGUAUUUUCGGCUAUAAAAGAGCCAUUAGGAAUAUUUGUAAAGGGUUUUUUUUUUACCCUCACACACAAAGAGAAUAUACACGCAUACAAGAUCAAUAUAGAGAAAGAAAUAAAAAUAAAUAAAUACAAAGAAUAGAAAAUCAAGUUUCGAAGGUGAUUCUUUGAAAAAUCCUUUUCGUUUUUCUCAUUUUUCCUUUUUCCUGGAUCUUUUGUUCAUUUCAAGUAAAAAAAGUAUAGAAAGGAAACAAGUUUAGAGGAAGGAGGUUUACCUGGACGCCGGACCUCGCUCGCCUCGUCGAAAUCGAAGGCUGAGAGGGGAUAAAUCGGUUUUGCGGCAGAAGGAAAGGGGGGCUAGGGUUCUUGUUUUAACUUUUUUAAAAAAAAUAGAAAAGGUUGCUAAUUAGGUUUUAAUGGGGGAUUUAUGUGUGUUAAAAAAACGACGUCGUUUAGCGACCUUUGACCCGUGCGGUGACCCGACCCGAGGAAAGGAUCUGCGCGUUUUGGGUCUGAUGGGUUUAUUGCGCAACAAGCCCUUCCGCAUUUGUUUUUCGUUUCAAUUCGGUUUUUAUUUGUUUUUUAAUUGUUUUCUCAUAUUUAGUUCCAAUUUCAAUUGGGUCCAUGAUUAAACGACAUCGUUUUCAUUGAUUGGGUUUGAAGGCCUGGUUUUGUGCGUCUAAAUUGCAGCAAUGGUCCCCCUGAUGUGCAAUAGUUCUCGAUUUAGUCGUCUCCACACUUAUUUCAAAGUCGUCCUUGAGAUUUUGUUUUAUUUUUGAAAUUGUCCUUGUCUUCUUUUAAUUUAUAAUGAUAUUAUUAUUAUUGUUGUUGUUAUUAUUACUAUUAAUAUGGGUAUUGUUAUCAUGUUAGUUUAUAUCUAUUUAUUUACUUUUAUUUUAUUAUGUAUUAUUAUAUAAUGCUUUUAUCAUGUAUCAUUUUAUAUAUUUUCUAUGUUAAUCUAAUAUGAUAUAUAUAUAUAUAUGUAUUUUUGUGAUCUUAUUUUAUAAUACUUUUUUAACCCAUUUAUAUGCCUUUAUGUUUUAAAGAUUUAUAAUAUUUUGUGCAAAACUAUUAUAUAUAUAUAUAGAUAUACAAUUUAUAUUAGACCAUUUUUAUCGUACAUAUACGUAUAUAUAAUUUAUAUUUUGAAACUCUAUUUUAUUAUAUUUUAUGCCUCUAUAUACAUCAUUAUAUGUUUAUUAUUCUUUAUAUUAAACCUGCCAUUUCACUUAUAUAUUUUUAAAACCAAUGUGUAUUAUUCUUUCUUCUUUGUUAUUUUUUAUCUCUUAAAAUAGAUUGAUAAUUCAUUUAAUUUUUGAAUGUUGUAUGACCGAGAUUAUCGUUGCCAUUCUUGUCCAAAUUUAUCCAUUGCUUGUUCAUAUUAUUUGAUAAUUUAUCGCUCACUAGCAUGUAUCGUAAUUUACGAAUUAUCAUUUUGAAUUAUGUACUACCAUUCAAUCGCAUUACAUUUGUUUGGAAAACAUCGAAAUCGUUUUGCACAUAAACCUUCAAAAUGCUUGGUAUCCAAAAUUCUCGAGAGGAUUGUGCCCUAAUUUAUUGGGCUUCAAUUCCCCUUUUUGAUUUUAAAUAACCGAAUACCCCUUUUUCAAUUUGAACAUAGAAAUUCCAAAAUAAAAAAAAACUCAUUCUCGGGAAUUUGAUGCGUUGUGUCCUAACGUAUUGUAUAUGACAUAUUUUUCUCGAGACGAGGAUUUUUCUAACAAAUAAAAAUAAAGGCAAUAUUCGAUAUUUAGGAAUUUUGUGAAAUCGAACCCUAACUUACUGGGUUUUGAUUUUUUCAUUUGACCCAAGUAGGAUAUCCUUCACAAAUGCACAGAUUUUAAAAAAUCAAAAGAUAAACUUAAUUUCGAGGAUUUAAAAUGUUACACUCUGACUUACUGAGUGUGUCAAUUUAUUUCUUUGAAAUAAGUGAGUCUUAUCAUCCAAUUUAUUUUAUUCAAAUUUUCUUUUCCAAGGAUCGUAUUUUAAAAUUUUUUCAAAAUUUCGACAUUAAGACAUUAAGCAAUCAAUUCAGUACCAAUUUUGGGCGUCACGAGGGUGCUAACUCUUCCUCGUGCGUAAUCGACUCCCGAACCAGUUUUCUCAAAAUUCACAGACCUAAAAUUAUUUUCAAGGUGAUCCGAUCACACCACAAUAAAAGAUCAGUGGUGACUCCCAUUCCUAUUUUUAAAAGUCGAUUCCUGUUUUUCAUAUAUAAAAAAAUGGUUUCGACACUACGGUUUUGUUUGUUUCCCUUAGAACAACUUUCAAAAAGUUAAUUUUGAAAAAUGGAUUGAAUUUUCAAAAUAGAUGAUAUUUUUUUGUGUUAAAAUUUUAUUCGUUGUUUGAAAAAAAAAUUUAAAUCAUUUUCUUAGAAUUAUUUUUAGUGAAACAAAUAUAUCAUAAAUAUAUUUGUUAUAAAAUAUUAUAUUAAUAUUUUCUUUUAACAAUUAAAAUAUAUUUUGUGAUAAGGUAAUAUUUUAUAAUAAUUAAUAUCAUAUAUACUUAAUAAUAAAUCAUGUCUAAUUAAAAUUUAAUUUCAAUUAAAUAUAUUAAUAAAGCUACAUUUAAUCAUAUUUUAUAUAAUUAAAAUAUUAAUAUAAAUAUUUUUCAAUAAUAUAUUAAAGAAUAUUUAAAAUUUAAAUUUAUUAUUACUAAGAUUAAUUAUUAAAACAAAAAUGUAAUAUUAAAUAAUUUAUCCAAUGAUAAGUUAUAUUAAUAAUUUAUUAUAUUAUUAAAUAUAAAUAAUUAAAUAUGUAUGUUUAAUAAUAUUAUGUUAUAAUAUUUAUUACUAAUAUUUUAAUAUUUUUAAACAACCAUGUUUUAAAGAUGGUGGUGAUGGUGAUGGUGCAGGCCCCCUUGUUAAAAUUACAAUAUUUUUAAGUGGGAUGCAUGUAAUAUAUUGUUAGGGUUUUAGAGUAUGUGGUCUUUAAAAGGGUUAAAUUAUAUAUUUAUAUAAUAUGAUUAUUGUUUAUAAACAUAAUAUUGUAGAUAAGUUUAUAUGUAUGUCAAUAUGUAUCCUACUCUAAGGUUAAUAUGUAUUUUUUAGAUGUGGGUUUACCUAUAUAAUAGUAUGAAUCCAUCAUGUGGUCUCAUGAAAUAUACAAACACAUAUCGUGCGAACACAAAGUACGAACAAUAAAAAAUACAAAUCAAGACCCAAUUGAAUAAUUGAAUAACGGAUAGGUAAUAAUGAAUAUCAUAACAUUUACUAUCCCCUCUUUUCUAGUGAGUUAUUGUUUAUGAUAAAUUUGCAACAAAUGUUUUUAUCAUUAUUUUGUUGGUAAAUGAUAAUAAGAUUAAACAUUACUUUCUUAAGCUCCUUCAAUUCUUUGGACGUUAGCGAGUAAACUUGAGCUUCAGCAUUCCACAAACACCUUAAUUUGAAGACACAGUUCUCUCAUACUAAAAACGACAUGGACGUUUACCUUGUAAUUAGAGAUUUGGGCUCAUUGUUGGGUUAUUAAUGAUACGGGGAUGGAGAGCUUUAAACUGGGUAUGGUUGGCCCCAAAGAGGCUCGAAACGUGCUUGAGACUAGAGGUGAUCAAGGGCCGGGUUAGGCCCAGUCUAGAAAAAAAAUUAGGCCCAUUUUUUAGAUUUGAACUCGGCUCGGCUCAAAAUAUAAGCUUAAAAAUUUGUCUAAGUUCAGUCCGAAAGAAAAUUGUUAAGCCCAAGCUCGACCCAUAUUAAAUUUUACAACACCAAAAAAGUAUAUUUAAAUAAAAAUAAAAUAUAUAUAUUUAAUAUAUAAUUCGGGCCGAGCUGAACUCGGGCCAAAAAAGUUUUACUCGGGGCUGGUCCGUUUUCUAAACAGACUUCGUUUUUUUUGCCAAAAUCCAUAUUUUUACCCGAAUCUUCCUAUUUUUUGGGGUGUGCCGUCGGGCCGAACUGGGUAACCGAACCAAUGAUCACCUCUGUAAUCACUGAAUUUUGUCCGGGAAUAACUUUCGUUAAAAAAAUUUUAAAAUUAAAAAAAAAUUAACUUUUUUGCUUUUUGACCCCUAAACUUUUCUAAAAUUUCAUUUUAACCCCUAAACUUUCUCAAAAUUACAGUUCAACCCCUAAACUUUUCUAAAUUACAUUUUGACCCCUAAAAUUUCUUAAAAUUACAUUUGGACCCUUACACUUUCUCAAAAUUACGUUUCGGCCCCAAAAUUUUUGCUACAUUUACAAAUUGGUCCUUCUGUCAGAAAAUCCCCAAUAAUCCGGCGGAUUUCGUGCACCUGCCCCACUAUUUCCGGCAGCCGGCCUAGGGCAUGGCCUUCCCCACCUGCUACCUGCAAACAAGAAGCAAAAUCAACUAUAAAAAGGAGUUUAAACUCCAAAAAUCGGACCCCCACCCACGAAAAAAAUAAAAAAAAAAAACUUGAAAGAAAAAGAAAAAAGCUUUGAGAAAGAAAAAGAAAAGGAAAAGAAGAGAGGGGAGAAGGAGAGGCCGACCAUCGGCGAGCCACCGGAGGAGGCGACGGCAGCAGCGGCAUCGACGGCGGCGUAGAAGACCGAACGGAGAAGAAGAAGAAGAAGAAAAAAAAAGAAAGAAGAGAAAGAAAGAAGGAAGAAGAAGAAGAAAGAAACAAAAAAAAAAGAAAAUAUUUUGUAAUAGUCGGCCCGGCCCGACUCGACCUGCACGACCCGUGACCCGACCCGACAGCACCAGCAACCUAGCAGGCCACGGUAGCAGCCCGGCGGCCCAAAGAGUAGCCCAAAAAGAAAAAAAGAAGAAGAACAAAGCAAAAAAAAAAAGCAGGCCAUUUUCAGCAGGCCCAGUGCAGCCCAGCAGACCCAGCGAACCCAGCAGGCCAGGCCCACACGCAAGCAGCCCAACAGAAAAAAAGGGAAAGAAAAAGAAAAGAAAAAAGAAAAAAGAAAAAAGAAGAAGAAGGGGUUCAAUUUGUAUUAUCCGUUCGGCGAAGCUCGUGUUUUGAGGAUUUUUUUUCGGUAAUUUUAUUUUUUAAUUUUAAUUUAAUGCUCGUAUUUUUUUUAAAUAUUAUUAGUAUUUUAUGCAUUUUUAUAUUUUGGCAUUUAUAUUUUUAAUUUAAUUUACUUCAAUUUUUAUUUUAUUUUAUUUUAAAUAAUUUUAAUAAAUGAGGCAACGAAUCGAUUUAACAUAAAAUCGUUGAUUUCAUUGCUAUGUUGGGUGAAUAUCAUCGGUUUGUGUUAAACACGAUACACCCUUUUUAAAAAAAAGAAAAAAAUCGAAAAAAUUCUAAAAUUCUCAUUUUUUUAAAAUUCUCGUGUUUUAAUAGAAUCACGAUUAAAUAUUAAGUUGAAUCGAUUUGGCACUAAUUCGAUGAUUUCAUCUCCAUGUAGGGAUGAAUAUCAUUUAUUCGUGUUAAAUAUGGUACUUCUGAAAAAAAAUCGGGUUUCAAAAAUUUUCGUGUUUUCAAAAAUUCUCAUGUUUCAAAAAUCUUCGUGUUUUAAAAAUUCCAGUGUUUCAAAAAUUUUCGUGUUUUCAAAAAAAAAUUUCUCGUGUUUUUAAAAAUUCCCGUAUAUCGAAAUUUUCUUGUUUUCAAAAAAAAAAUUCCAUGUUUCAUAAAUUUCCGUGUUUUCAAAAAAAAAUUCUUGUUUUUCAAAAAUUUUCGUUUUUAAAAAAUUUGACCGUGUUUCAUAAAUUUUCGUAUUUCAAAAAAACCUCGUGUUUCAAAAUUUUCGGGUUUUUUUAAAAACAAUUCGUGUUUCUAAAAUUCUCGUAUUUUAAAAAAAAUCGUGUUUUCAAAAAAAGAAAAAGUUGUUGUGCUUUAAAAUUAUCGUGUUUCAAUCGGAUCACGAUUAAUAUUAAAUUGAACUCGUAUUUUUGAAAAUGAAAACAACGCGCGUUUAACGAGAUACCAAUUUUGGGCGUCGCGAGGGUGCUAAUACCUUCCUCGCGCGUAACCGACUCCCGAACCUUAAUUUUCUCUGAAUUUUUACGUGGACCUAAAAUUACCUCUUUUUAGAAAAGUUUAAAAAUGAAUUUUUCUUCUAAAAAGAGAAUUUUGUAGGUGUCCGAUCACACCUAAAAAAAGAUCGGUGGCGACUCCUUUUUUUCAAAUAAAAUCGAGAUUCAGUUUUCAAGUUUUUAAUAAUUACUUCGACAAGCGCCCGUGCGCAAAAUUUUUAAGUCGCUACAGCCUCUACUUGAGACAACAGGGUUUUGCAGGGAAUUCUUACAGGUUCGUUUCUGGCGACAAAAAAGAGCUCUUCACUAUAAGCAUACAAACAAGAGCCAAAACUAUGCCUCUUAGUGAUGAUAUUAGGCCUUAUGUUAUUCCUUUUCAACAUCAAACCGUCAACCGGUAUGGUAUGUUUUUUUUAUUUAAUCUGCAAUUUGUGAUAAUUCUUUGUUAUUUAUGUAUGGAAUUUAUUGGGAGGAAAUGCUGGAAAGAAUUCAUUUACGAGAAUUGGUCCAAGAUCAAGGGUGAACAUUACGGACCCUGAAAAAUAAGAGAAAUACUUAACAAAUUUAAUGACUUCCAGAAGAUACGUACCAAUCCACUGCUUAAUUUGCUUGUAAGCGGCCUUGUUAACCUCGAAGGAGACCGAUGGAGCAAGCAUAGAAAAAUCAUAACCCUUGCAUUUCAUCAAGAUAAGUUGAAGGUAUAGAAUAGUAAUGGGUACUCAAGACUUUAAAGAAAACAUCAUACUUAAGCCUAUGCUUUUCUGAUUUAGAAAUAAUUGGAUGCAGAAUAUGUUGCCAGCAUUUUAUCAAAGUUGUAGUGACAUGUUUAAGCAAAUGGGAGAAGAUGGUGUGUACAGAAGGAUACAUUGAGUUAGAUGUGUCGCCUUAUCUCGUAGAUUUGACAAGAGAUGUUAUUUCCCGAUCUGCUUUUGGAAGCAGCUUCGAAGAAGGCAAACGAAUUUUCCAAUUACUAGAGGACCAACUCGUUCUCACAAUCAAAUUAAUACAAACUGUUUACAUUCCAGGAUGGAGGUAACCGUCUACUUUAAUUUACUUGAAAAAGGUUGCAAAUGUUGGAAUUGGCUAAAUUCGUGUUUGUUUUCUUGAAGGUUUUUGCCCACAAAGACAAACAGGGAGGUGAAGAUGAAACACAAAGACAUAAAAGAGUCGCUCAGGGAAAUGAUAAAAAGAAGAAAGCAGGCAAUUAAAGCAGGGGAAGAGAGUAAUGAGGACUUGUUGGACAUACUUGUGGAAUCCAAUAUCAGAGAAAUGGAAGCAAAGAAUAUGGGGAUGAGCAUUGAGGAUGUGAUUGAGGAAUGCAAGCUGUUUUACUUAGCUGGCCAGGAGACCACUUCGGUCUUACUGGUGUGGACUAUGGUUUUAUUAGCAAGGUAUCCCGAUUGGCAAAGUAAAGCAAGAGAGGAGGUUUUGCAUGUUUUGGGUGACAGUAAACCUGAUGCUGAUGGCCUUAAUCGUCUCAAAGUUGUAAGUCCCUAGCAUGUCUCUUGAAGGCCCGAUCUCUGAGGUCGACAACUCAAAAACUUGGUUCUUUGUUUCGCUAAUUCUACAGUUAACAAUGAUAUUGUACGAGGUUCUAAGGCUGUACCCACCAGUGAUUGAGCUAGGACGUUCCGUUCCAAAAGAAAUAAAACUGGGAAAUUUGUUGUUACCAGCAGGAACAGACGUUUCGGUUCCAAUCCUGCAGAUCCACCAUGACAAAGAUCUUUGGGGCGACGCCGCACGGGAAUUUAAGCCACAGCGGUUCACGGAAGGGGUUUCCUAAGCAACAAAGAGUCAAGUCACGUUUCUGCCAUUCGGAUGGGGUCCUAGGAUCUGCAUUGGCCAAAACUUUGCCAUGAUGGAAGCUAAAAUGGCGAUGGCUAUGAUUCUCCAACGCUUCUGGUUUGAGCUUUCCCCUUCCUAUGCUUACUCUCCUUACAACAUGGCAACUCUUCGUCCACAGCAUGGUGCACAGAUAAUUUUACAUAAACUUGGCUGUAAUUGAAUUGUUAUGUAAGCAAAUCUUUGUGAAAAUAUAGUGUUUUAGUGUAUCGUCAACGUCUGUCUGUAAUGGUACAAUUCCGAUGCAUGAAUAGUAAAUUUUGAGAUGUUUGGUGAAGUCCGAAAUAAUAUGCAGAAAUUGAGUGUCUAUGGUGGACAUAGUUGAGGGACUAAUGUGGUAAUUAUCAAUCAAAUAAUUCGGUACAAAGACUUAUAUGGAAAUUAAAGCAGGGGGAGUUGAAAAUGACUACUCUGCUUUGGGCAUCAAUUUAGAAAGAUUUAAAGUACAAAUGUGUUAUUAGUUAAGGGAUUUGUUUUAAAGAGGGAAUGACAAUUAAACCUCAUGGUUGAUUUGUGGAAGGGAACCAAUGAUGGGAUGAUUACUCUUAGUGGUGAAAAAAAAACUAUUAAGGUGGUUAUUAUAGUUGUUAUCACCAGCCUAAAAUUUGAAUAGGUUCAGGUCGGAUUAUAUUGAGCUUGCAAGAUUAGUUCACGGACCAAACUUGCAUGAUAAUAGGUAUUCACAACAAGAUAUCUAUAGUUUCCAACAAAGUCACAUGUGAGAUCGUGCAUUAGAACCGCAUAAACAUGUUUUAUGUUUAGAAUAUGAUAUGUGUCUAUGUGUAUAGAAUCUACCUAAUAUAUCAUAUUAAUGAAUAGUAUCAAUUGCGGAGCCAAAAAAUUAUUUGUGAGGGGUCAGAAUUAAAUUGUAUAUUUUUACAAAAAUAAAAAUUAAAUUUCACUAUUUUAAUAGUUUAUUUAUUUUUAAUUUUUAAAUGAUUAAAUUAAAUUUUAUAAAUUUUUAGGAUCAAAGUAUAAUUUUAUCAUUACUAAUUUAAAAUUUUAUAAAUUAUAAAAAGUUUAUAUGAAAAGUUUUCUAUUUUAGGGUGGCCAAAGCCCCUGUCAACUUCUGACUCGAUCACUUGCGGUUAGUUGGGUAAAGACUCAAGAAAAAUAGCGGUGUGUUUGGAUGGACGGUGCGUUUACUUGCGGUUAGUGUAAAAAUAGCGGUGGCGGUGAGAUUAGAUACUAUAGCAACACUGUAGCGUGAGACAAAAAGUAAGUUAAACGCACUGCACUGCACUUAAUCGUCUAUCUAAACUCACCAUAAGUGUCUAAAAUAUGAUUUAAGUGAAGAUACGUGGGGUAGGUGUCAUGGAAAUGUAAAAAAAAAAAAGAAUCCUACUAAUGUAUGGGAUGUGUACAAUUGAAUGCAGGAGUGAAUCAUUUGGGUAACAUUUGGACAAGAAACAUAAUGAACAAAAUGAAAGGAGAGGAAGCUAGUAAUAAAAGAUUCUUUUGGGUUAUAUAAUUUGUUUGGCAUAUAUUUUUAUAAUAUUUAAAUAUCAUUUUGGAGUUGUUGAAUUAUAAUUUAUUUUUAUGUUUUAAAACAUAAUUAUUCUAUUUUUAGAGGUCAGAGUAGAGGUGAGCAUGAGUCGGGCUACUCGGCUCGGGCUGAAGGCUUGCGCAAAAUGUGAGAGAUUUGGGUAAAAAUAUAGGCCCGAAAAAUGAGUUUAGACAAAAAAAAAUAUAAGGCCCGUUGAAAAAACAGGCUAGGCCUUGGGUAAGGCAUUUUGGCCCCAGACCCGGCCCAACCCAAAUUCACUAAGGGCACGUUUGGUUCGCUGUAUUGGAAUAGAGGCGUAAUGUAAUAGAGGCGUAAUGGAAUAGAGACGUAAUAGCAAAUCAAUUGUUUGGUUGAAUGUAAUGGAAUAGAGGCGUAAUAGUAUUCUUAUAUUUGGUUGAAUGGAAUAGAGUUGUAAUAGCAUAAGGAAAAAAGUUAAAAUGACUAGAAUACCCUUAGCAGAAAUUUGUUUAGAUAAAUGAUUAUUGUUAUUGUUAUUAAAUUUUAAUAAGAUUAUUAAUAUCAGUAAUAAAUAAUUUAAUCAUAUUUUAACAUAAUUAUUAUUAAAUAUAAUUUAAUAAAAAUAUAUAAUUUAAUAAAAUUCUUAAUAUUAAAUAUUCUUAAUAUUAAAUUACUAAAAUCAUAAUAUAUAAUACUAUAAAAUAUAAUUUAACAUAAUUAUUAUUAAAUAUAAUUUAAUAAAAUUCUCAAUAUUAAAUAUAUUCUUAUAUGAAUUUACUAAAAUCAUAAUAUAUAAUACUAUAAAAUAUAAUUUAAAAUAAUUAUUAUUAAAUAUAAUUUAAUAAAAAUAUAUAAUUUAAUCUAAAGUUUGAAUGUGUAUUUACCUAGCAAAAAUCAAUGAACUCUCGUGUAACUAUAACCUUAAUAAUAUAUGAUGUAUAAUUAAUAUUUCGUGACUAAUUAAUAGCAUAGAGAUAAAUAUAGUAAUGACGAAUUUAUAGUAUACGAUUAAAAUGCUAAUAAUUUAUAGUAUACAAUUAAAAUAUUAUAAAUAAAAUAAUAGUAAAUGAUAUAUAAGAUAAAUUAACAUAUAAAUAAUUCAGAUAUGUAAAGGAUAUGGCUGAAUAUGGUUGCUCCAAUAAUAAAGGAUAUAUAAUAUAUCAUGGUGUUGUUUUGUUUAGAUAGUUCGGUAACUUAGGAGGGUAUGUAUGAAGAACACAAGUUGAUGCAGAUAGAAAGACGACAAUAUUACAUGAUUACAAUAUGAUAUAGUAUAUAUAUAUAAUUUAUGGAUUCCUUGCAAUCACGUGGGUUCUCUAGCCAUUUUAUUUAGCAUAUCCAGUGAUAUUAAGAUCCAGAAUUAUAAUACAACUAAAAUCUGUGCACACUUAUGGAUGAUCCAACAAAGCCUCAGUUGGCUUUAGGUUCCAAAUCUUGCAACCCACAAACCAUAUUUGCUGGCACUGCAACAUCAAUCAUCUUAGGAUAUGCCAAGUUAAGAUCUGUUGCACCAACAAAAACAGAGGAGAAAUUGGAAGGCGAUCCGAAAAAACCCAAGGAUGCUUUUUCUUUUCUUUUUUUUUUAUAAUCUUUAUAGACUGGUUAUAUUGAGCAUCAACUUACUUUCCAUGAUGUUUUUGAAAGUCUCUUACAAAAAGGGUAUUCAACAAAUAAUAUAAUCAGACAUAUUGAUAGGACAAAUUGAAACUAGUAUUCUAUGAUCAUAAUAAAGAGUAAUCUUUAAUCAAAUGCGUGAAGGUAUUGAGAUGUCAUGCUUUUUCAUGAUUUCCUGUUUUACCAUGGCGAUGUUCAUUGGAAUAGUCCCAUCCAAGAGAAUCAAACCAAUGCUCAGCAAGAAAUGUUCAAUGCAUAUGUAAUUUUAAUUACAGAAGUUAUAUGCAGCUUAUAUGAGUUCAAGAUCAUAAAAUACUUCAUGGACAAAAGGAAACCCUUUCUUAUCACUGAAAUGAAAAUAGGCACUCUUAAUUUUCUAUUGUCAAAAGUAGCAAGCCAUUUUCCAAAGAAAAGGGAAGAUGGAUGGUUCCAGAAAGAAUACCUCAUCCUUUGUCAAGUGUGGAUUAUAUAGCAUCUCCUCUCCCACAGUGGUUACCUAUAAUCAAUGAGGUUUAUAAAAUCGAGCAAUCAUUUAUAUAUGUAAGAAAUGAUAGGAAUAAAGUUUUAUAUCUUACUGAGAAUCCUUUGUAGUCAUGAGCUGGAUAUAGCAAUGUCUCUUUCGGUAAUGUAAAAAUCUGGAUCCAUGAAACAAAUAAGUCCAUAAAUUUUAUUCAAAUUUUGACAAUUACAAUAAAAUUUUGAGAACUCAAAGAAUGUGACCAUAAAAAGUCCCCUGUCCUUACCUGUGAAUGCACUGACUUGUAGAGUUGCUGUGAACUUCCACCCUGCAAAAUGCAUUAAUCAGUGCUAGUCAAUGGCUACUGAAUGUGGGAGCAUUAGAGAAAAUUAUCUUAAAAACUUAAGUAUAACAAAAUUAGACAAUGACAUCCAGAUGGAAAGAAAUUGCCAGCAUAUAAGACCAGCAUUUAUGUACUCACGACUGAAAAUCCUUUGCAAAAAGUAUAGCCCUGAUAGUUCAAACUUUUACUUCAAGGAUGAUUUAAUUACUGAUUAGUUUGCCAUGAGGCUUGUGAAUGACAAACACUUUAUGUGCAACCACAGUAACAAGGUAAGCACCAAUAAGUAGAAGACUAGACGAAUAGGUAACCAAGAGUUAGAGCUAAAACAGACAAACAGAGCUACUAUCCAAUGAGCUAAAACAUACAAACAGAGGUAUAUUUUAAUAAUGAAAAUAAUCGAUUGCCUUAAACACCAUAUAGUGUUCCAAUCAAUCAAAUUAUAGCAGGCAUUAAAACCUUUCCCUUUCGUUAAUUCACAACUAUUAGCUUCAUUAAUCAAAUCCUAUGUACAGUUGAUCGAUUGAAAGUGUAACAUUUCAAAGACGAAAUUUAAACGCAAAACUGGUUAACAUUGAAAUUACAUGUAAAUAUAACCUAAAAAAUCAAAAAAUUAAUCAUAUUUUCAGAUUUCAGGCCGAAAUGGAAUGAAAUGAAAGGUAAAUCCAUUUUUUCCCCAAAAAAACAAAAAUAAAGAAAUAAUAUUUCAAGAACAGAUCAUUAAAUUCAUGGUAUAUAUAAAGAAAUUUAAUUGAAAUCAAAGGAAUAGAAGAAGGGAAAAGCGUACUUGGAACCAUUGCUGCUACUCUCUGUUACUCUGUUACCUCAUACGAUUCGUUAAAGGGUUGUUAGGGUUUGUUAAAAGGUUGGUCAGGAUAGAAGCAUGAAAAGGAGGGAGAAGGUUGGAAGGAAAUGGGAAGAAAAAUGAAAAAAAGAAGAAGAUGCUGCAACGGCUUGGAGGGUAAAAGAGGACCGAUUAGGUAAUCCUUUCUUUUGGAAGGGAUUACAAAUCGGCGCUGCAUAAGGGAAAAUGGGGAAUCAGUGCGCUGCGUAAUAGGCCCGUAUUAAGGCAAUACAGCCAACCAAACAUGGUAAUCAGUGGGGCCACGAAUUAGGGGUGUAUUGGCUAAUCCAAUACACCCAACCAAACAUGCUCUAAAGGACAAAAAAAUUUGAUUUUUUAAAUAUUAUUUUCUCUCUAUUUUGCUAUCAUUUUACUAUUAUGUUGCUACUAUGUUAUUGUUAUUUUUGAAUAUUGUAUAAAACUUAUUUUAUUGUUAAUUUUGUUAUUAUUUUAAAGACAUUUGUUAAUUUUGUUAUUAUUUUAGAGACAUUUGUUUGUUAAGUUGCAUCUAUCUUAGUGUUAUUUAAGUAUACAUAUUUUUUAAAAUUUAUUUUCAAUUUAUUGGGAAAUAUUUAUUUUGAUGUUUUUAGUAUUUUGGAUGUAUUAUAUAUAUUAAAAUUAUAUAAAAAUUAAUAUGGCCGAGCCAGGUCAGGCCCAGAUUUUAGCAUUUUUAUUCAGGUCGGGCUUGAGCAAAAUUUUAAGCCCAUUUUUUGGGCCAAACCAGGCCUGGGCUUAGCAAAUGGGCCUAAAUUUUUAGUCAAGCUCGACCUAAACCCGAUCCGGCCCAUGCUCACCUCUAGAUCAGAGCUGCCCUCGCUUUGCAUUUCUUUGAGAUUCAGUCUUAUCUACUGUUGAUUGCCCACUCAAUGGAGGGUUGAGUAGAAAGAUUUGGUGAAGCAAGCUAAGCUAUCAAUCAAGGUUGGAGAAAGCUUAGGAGGUCACAAUGCAUAAUUAUUUAAAUGUAAUUCUAAUAUUUAAAUAAAAUUUAUUAAUAUAGUAUUAACAAGCCCUAAAUGUAAUGAUUAUAUACUAUUACAUUUUUAAGAAGAGAAAACAUGUUUGAACCUUAAAAACAUCAUUAUUAAAAAUGAUAAUUACAAAUUUUAAAAUAUAAAAAAUAUAAUUAAAAAUUAAUUUUAAACCCGAGCUGGAUAAAAUUCUAAUUUUAGAUAACGAUACUAAUAAGAAAUCAAUAUUAAAAUGAAAAUGAAAAGUAAUUUAAUAUAAUUUUUGAGUCUUGGGCAAAGGCACUCAAUGAAUGCUUGGAAAGAAAUAAUGCAACUUGGUGAUAGCUUUUGUUGGAGUAAUAUGCUCUUAUUAUAGUUUUAUGUUUUUAUCUUGCAAAAACAACAUAUUGGAGUUUUCGGCAUGAUUUUUUCUUAAUACUUUACAUGAAAAAUAAUAAUGGGACUUAAAUUGCUACAAUAUUACAACACAAAGUUACAAUAAGAGCUUAUAACUCAACAAAGGCUAUCAAUAAAUAAUCUCAGGCAAGCUAAAGAGAAAUGUUGAGAAUACCACCCGAAUAGUGACUGACUUUAAAAGUUGAAAACCCGAAGCUAUAUUAUCUCAAACGAAAUCAAACCAUAAACAUUAAAAUUUUCAAGUCUACUAGUUACUGUAAAAAAUUCAGCUCCAACAGACACCAAAUGAGCCUUUGAUCGAAGAAAGUACGAAAAAUAGUCUAGGUAAACCAAGCUUCCAAACUUACUUAUCUUAUCUUUAAUUUGCAGUGAAAUUCAAAAUUAAGAUUUUGUUUAUUUCACUUGGAACAACUUUCAAAAAAUUAUUUUUGAAAAAUGAAUUGGUUUUUCGAAAUAGAUGAUAUUUUAUUGUGUCAAAAUUUUAUUCAUUGUAGGAAAACUUUUUUUAAAUCAUUUUCUUAGAGUUAUUUUUAGUUAAAUAAACAUAACAUAAAUAUAUUUGUUACAAAAAAUUAUACUAGUAUUUUCUUUUGACAAUUAAAAUUUAUUUUAUGGUAAGACAAUAUUUUAUAAUAAUUAAUAUCAUAUAUAUACGUAAUAAAAAUCAUGUUUAAUUAAAAUUUAAUUAAAAUUAGAUGUAUUAAUAAAGCUACUCCUCCACAACCCGCAUCCGCAACAGCACCAGCACCAGCACCAGCACCAGCAUCAGCACCAUGGGACAACUAUUGGGUUUCCUCCACCUGCCUCUAUCGCUCCUCCUCAGUAUUACCCCCAAGCCUACCAGACCGUGCCGGGUAUUCUACAAAUAUGAAAAAACCUUCUUCUCUUUUUAUUAGCUUAUCGAAAUGAAGGAUUUUGAGAUUUGGGCUUUUGUUAGAUGGAUGGUUAAUGAUAUUUUUUAGAUGAAAGAUACAAGUUUUUUAAUGUUUUAGAAGAAAAGGUGUUUAAAUAUUAGGAGUUUUUUAGCAGAGAAAGAAGAUAAAUAAAUGCAUAGAGAUACAUUAGCAAUAUUAUUUGGAUUUGGUUGUCUAAUGUAAUGAAGAAUUUUUUAAGGGUGACCUGAGUAGGUGUGGCAAGAUUCAAAGUUUUUUCUAUUAUAGCAGAUAUAUAUAUAUUAAUGGUUUAAGAAGACUAGAAGUCGGUUUCAAAGGAAGAUGAGAAAUAAAAGCAUUUAUAUAUAUGAUAUGUCAUUAAUUCAUAAACCAAAUAUAUAAAGUAUGUAAAAGUGUCAGGGGUUAAUCAUGGUGUUUUGACAAUCCGGUAACCUUCAACUUGAAGAAAACCUUAGGUUUCAAAAAUUUAUGUGAAGAGUUAGAAUGGUAUGCUUCAUGGAUCUGAAUAACUAGAACAGUGUAAGAGUGGUAUAUUGUGUCAAGUUUGGUUUCUUGUAUAUAAUUGUAUCGAAAACAAUGUUACAUGAGUUAAAAUGAAUGUUCAUCCAAUUUAACAAAGCCUGCAUUAUGUUGAUCAAAAUUUUUAAUUCAUGUUGAGGUUUCUUCCGUGAUAUCUUUGAUGUCAAGGUUAUGAUGUUGCUGAAGGGACACCUGUAAGAGAUAAGCCACCGUGCUGUGGCAUUGGAUUCGGAUGGUUCUUGUAAGUGUACAUAGUUUUCUUUGUUUUUAAAGAGUUCUUUACAUAUGAAGUAAAACAAGUAGCGACUUGAUGGAUAUGUCAUUAAGCUUUAACUUAAGCAAAUCAUUUUCCUUCAUCUCUAAUUGCCAUUUCUUUAAAAGAAAAAGAGGAAGUUUUGUAGUUUACAGUUUGGACAAAUGGAAGUUAAUAUAAUGCACUAUUUGGAUGGACUAUGGAGAUAUCCAAUCAUAUUGGAUGAGUUAUAAGAAACCUGUGAGUUCAUAUUGGGUUUACUUUAUAUCAUAAUUAGAUUGUUGAGCUGGCUGUCAUACUUAGAUGGUAUUUCACGUUGCUACUUGUUAAACUAUACCACUUUCACAUUCAUACGUGAAAUGGCUGGGAUUUAGUGCCAUUCUACUUAGCAGCCUCGUGUAAUACACAGGUGAAAUGUUUAUGUCUUCAUGUCACCUUAAAGUUCCCAUUUCCAUGACGGUAUUGUUAAGUAAAGACUGGUACAUACCCCAAAAUACGGAAAUUGUUUUGGAUGUAUACUAUACUUUACCAUGCAUGAUUUUUUACAAGUUUGCAUGGUAUUUUAUCAUUAUAUUGGUCUUUAUUUUCUAUACUCGCAGCUUCCAUUAAUAUAUUUUUAUGAAUUUUAUCAUUAUGCUGGUUUGAAGGUUCAUCAUUGGUUUCUUCAUUGGGGGCCAUCCCUGGUAUAUUGGAUUCUUUGUUUUACUUUGUGCAAGGAUAGACGACAGAGAGAAAGCAGGAUAUAUUGCAUGCACAAUUGCCGUGAGUAUCUUUUCUAUCAUUAUUUUUUUCUUUUCCAAUUUUAUGAAAGCCAUCCUUCCUGCCUUGUAUUGAUCAUCAAUUUAACCAUUAUAUAUAUGUAUCUUAUGUAUUUGUACCAUGCUUUAUCUUCAAUGCAAAUAUAAGUUAAACUACAAAGAUUGGAUUGUUAAAAAAAGUUUAAAAUGUUAAAAAAAUUGAAAAUUUUGAUUUUGUAAGAAUGAUAGAAAACCAAGGCCAGUGCUUGCAUAUGUUAUCUACUACAUGCACAAUCGGGUCGAUGUCUGUAUAUGUUUCAUGUUUAGAAAUCGUGUUCAAUUGGGUUACGAUAUGUACAAUUGAAGUGUCAAUUUAUAAUUUCCUUAUCAAGAUUACACAUUUUUUUGUUAAUAUUCGGAAUCACUCAAUGGUUAUAAACCCUGAUUGGAUACUGUCCACAAAGUCUAGUUGGAACAUCCCUUGUAUUCUUUGUCCUUUCUAAGAACUUUCCUUUCCAUCAUUCUCGCUUCUGUUUUUUUUUUCUUCCCUCUACUUUAAGUCAUUAUCUAACGUAGAUAUCCCUUGUAUUCUUUGUCCUUUCUAUGGCAAUCGAGUCAAUUGAUGGCAAGCCAAAAAAACAAAAAGAGCAGCUAUCCUGUCUUACUCGAUUGCCAUCCCUCCUGUUAAACACCAUUAAGAAAAGGAAAAUUUUAGUUAAGCUUUAAAACAGCCAUGUUUUAACGAUGUUGGUGAUGGUGCUUGUGCAGGCCCUUCUUGCUACAAUUACAAUUAUUCUUAGUGCAACAAUUAAAGCUGGUGGGUGAUAAAGCACACCUCUUUUGACUGAGAGAUGUAUAGGUUCCCAAAUAAUAUGUAUAUGCUCCCCCCCCUCCCUUUAUUUUAUUUUAUUUCCAGUAAGUUAUUGUUUAUGAUAAUUUGCAACAAAUGUUUUUGUCAUUAUUUUGUUGGUGAAUGAUAAUAAGAUUAAGCUUUACUUUCUUAAGCUCCAAUUCCUUGGACGUUGGUGAUUUUUUUAUUAUAGUUGAGUCAUUGUAUGGUAUUAAUAUAAUUUAUGUCGCUUAAAAUUUAUAACUAAAAAUAUAAAAUUUAAAUUUUACUUCAAUUUAUUUGUAUUUAUAAAUGGUUAAUUCAAACUUAUUUUUUUCCUCAUUAUAUUUUAUAUUUAAAUUAACAUUUAAACUAUUUUUCAUUAGCAAUGUUGUUAAGAAUUAUAUUUUUUAGCACCAACAUCAAACUUACUAAAAUUAAAUUUUUAACUAUUUAAAAAAAAUAUUUUUAGCUAUUUAUCAUCAUAGAGAAAAAAAGGUGACGUCACCACGCCUCAUGCUUCGACACCACAAACUAGACUCUCAUCACCCGUAUUUAUCAUCGAUUCAAAUUCCAGAACUACCUAAAAAUAUAUCUUCAAACUUCCUCUGGUUAAGUUCAUUGAUAGUCAACUUACUAUCAUUUCUAAAAAAAAAACAAAUAAAUUGGUUAAUAGUAAUCUCAAUGAUUCAAUUUUAUUCUUACCAGUAUCUGUCCUUUAGAAAGGGGCUUAUAAAAGGGGUAGAGGUGAGUAAACUUGAGCUUCAGCUUUCCACAAACACCUUAAUUUGAAGACACAGUUCUCUCAUACUAAAAAAGACAUGGAAGUUUACCUUGUAAUUAGAGAUUUGGUUUCAUUGCUUGUUGUUGGGUUAUUAAUGAUAUGGGGAUGCAGAACUUUAAACUGGGUAUGGCUGGCCCCAAAAAGGCUCGAAAGCUGCUUGAGACAACAGGGUUUUGCAGGGAAUCCUUACAGGUUCCUUUCUGGUGACAUAAAAGAGCUCUCAACUAUGAGCAGACAAACAAGAGCCAAACCUAUGCCUCUUAGUGAUGAUAUUGGGCCUUAUGUUGUUCCUUUUCAACAUCAAACUGCUAACCAGUAUGGUAUGUUUUUUUUGUUUAAUCUGCAAUUUAUGAUAAUUCUUUGUUAUUUAUGUAUGGAAUUUAUUGGGAGGAAAUGCAGGAAAGAAUUCAUUUACGUGGUUUGGUCCAAGACCAAGGGUGAACAUUACGGACCCUGAAAAAAUAAGAGAAAUACUUAACAAAUUUAAUGACUUCCAGAAGAUACAUACCAAUCCACUGCUUAAUUUGCUUGUAAGCGGCCUUGCUAACCUCGACGGAGACCGAUGGAGCAAGCGUAGAAAAAUCAUAAACCCUGCAUUUCAUCAAGAUAAGUUGAAGGUAUAGAAUAGUGAUGGGUAAUCAGACUUUACAGAAAACAUCAUACUUAAACCUAUGCUUUUCUGAUUUAGAAAUAAUUGGAUGCAGAAUAUGUUGCCAGCAUUUUAUCAAAGUUGUAGUGACAUGUUAAGCAAAUGGGAGAAGAUGGUGUGUACAAAAGGAUACAGUGAGUUAGAUGUGUGGCCUUAUCUCGUAGAUUUGACAAGAGAUGUGAUUUCCCGAUCUGCUUUUGGAAGCAGCUUCGAAGAAGGCAAACGAAUUUUCCAAUUACUAGAGGACCAACUCGUUCACAUAAUCAAAUUAAUACAAACUGUUUACAUUCCAGGAUGGAGGUAACCGUCAACUUAAUUUACUUGAAAAAGGUUGCAAAUGUUGGAAUUCGCUAAAUUCGUGUUUGUUUUCUUGAAGGUUUUUGCCAACGAAGACAAACAGGGAGAUGAAGAUGAAACACAGGGACAUAAAAGAGUUGCUUAUGGAAAUGAUAAAGAGAAGGGAGAAGGCAAUUAAAGCAGGGGAAGAGAGCAAUGAGGACUUGUUGGACAUACUUGUGGAAUCCAAUAUCAGAGAAAUGGAAGCAAAGAAUAUUGGGAUGAGCAUUGAGGAUGUGAUUGAGGAAUGCAAGCUGUUUUACUUAGCUGGCCAAGAGACCACUUCGGUCUUACUGGUGUGGACUAUGGUUUUAUUAGCAAGGUAUCCCGAUUGGCAAAGUAAAGCAAGAGAGGAGGUUUUGCAUGUUUUGGGUGACAGUAAACCUGACGCUGAUGGCCUUAAUCGUCUCAAAGUUGUAAGUCCCUAGCAUGUCUUUUGAAGGUCCGAUCAAUGAGGUCGACAACUCAAAAACUUUGUUUCUUUUUUCGCUAAUUCUACAGGUAACAAUGAUAUUGUACGAGGUUCUAAGGCUGUACCCACCGGUGGUUGAGCUAGAACGUUCCGUUCCAAAAGAAAUAAAACUGGGGAAUUUGUUGUUACCAGUAGGAACAGAAGUUUCGGUUCCGAUCCUGCUGAUCCACCAUGACAAAGAUCUUUGGGGCGAUGACGCACGGGAAUUUAAGCCAGAGCGGUUCGCGGAAGGGGUUUCCAAAGCAACAAAGAGUCAAGUCACGUUUCUGCCAUUCGGAUGGGGUCCUAGGAUCUGUAUUGGCCAAAAUUUUGCUAUGAUGGAAGCCAAAAUGGCGAUGGCUAUGAUUCUCCAACGCUUCUGGUUCGAGCUUUCCCCUUCCUAUGCUCACUCUCCUUACGGCAGGGCAACUCUUCGUCCACAGCAUGGUGCACAGAUAAUUUUACAUAAACUUGGCUGUAAUUGAAUUGUUAUGUAAACAAAUCUUUGUGAAAACAUAGCGUUUUAGUUUAUCGUCAAAGUCCGGUGUCUGUAAUGGUACAAAUUCGAUGCAUGAAUAGUAAAGUUUGAGAUGUUUGGUGAAGUCCGAAAUAAUAUGCAGAAAUUGAGUGUGGUAAUUAUCAAUCAAAUAAUUCGGUACAAAGACUUACAUGGAAAUUAAAGCAGGGGGAGUUGAAAAUGACUACUCUGCUUUGGGCAUCAAUUUAGAAAGAUUUAAAGUACAAAUGUGUUAUUAGUUAAGGGAUUUGUUUUAAAGAGGGAAUGACAAUUAAACCUCAUGGUUGAUUUGUGGAAGGGAACCGAUGAUGGGAUGAUUAUUCUUAGUGGUAAAAAAAACUAUUGUGGAGGUUAUUAUACUUGUUAUCAUCGGCUUAAAAUUCGAAUGGGUUCAAGUCGGAUUAUAUCGAGCUUGUAAGAUGAGUUCACGGAUCAAAUUUGCAUAAUAAAAAUACUUAAAUGAAAAAAAUUUCUAUUUUAGAGGGACCAGAGCCCCUACCAAUUCCCGGCUCAGCUACUAAACAAUACCCAUAUCAUAUAAAUAAAUACCACCAUAAAAAAAACUCAAAGAAAAACACUGACAAAUGAUAAAUAGAUAGAUGUUGGAUAAGUGUCCAAAAUAUGAUUUAAGUGAAGAUACAUGGGGUAGGUGUCACGGAAAUGUGAAUACAAGAAUACUACUAAUGGGAUGUGUACAGUUGAAUGUAGGGAGCAAAAAGAGGAGUGAAUCAUUUUGGUAACAUUGGGACAAGAAACAUAAUGAACAAAAUGGAAGGAGAGGAAGCUAGUAAAAGAAAUUUUUUGGGUCAUAUAAUUUGUUUGGCAUAUAUUUUUAUAAUUUUUAAAUAUCAUUUUGGACUUGAAUUAUAAUUUUUUUAUAUAUUAUCUUAAAAUUGUAUAAAUUUUAAGGAGUUAAAACAAAAUUAUUCUAUUUUUAGAUGGUUAAAGUAGAGAUGAUAAUGGGUUGAGCUAUUCGGCCCAGCCUGACGAUCCACCCGAAAAAUAGGAAGGUUUGGGUAAAAAUAUAGGCUUGAAAUAUGAAUUUGAGCAAAAAAAGAGGCCCGUUUAGAAAAUGGGCCGAGCCUCGGGUAAAACCUUUUGGGUCUAGACCUGACCUAAAUUAUAUAUUAAAUAUAUAUAUUUUUAUUUUUAAUCAAAUAUACUUUUGUUUUAUUAUUAAUUUGGUUAUUAUUUUAGUUCUAAUUUGUUUCAAUUUUAAUAUAACUACUUUUUAUUAUAUUUUCAAUUUGUGCAUUGUUUUAAGAAUUAUUUUAGUCUCAUUAUUUAUUUAUUUUUUAUUUUAAUAUUUGUUUUAAAAUUUUUUAUUUAUUGAAAUAAGCUAAAAAAAUUAAUAUGGGUUGGACCAGACCGGGCUCGGGCCUAGUAAUUUUCUUUUGGGCCGGACUUAAACAAAUUUUUAAGCCCAUAUUUUGAAUUGGGUCCUACACUAGAAAAUGGACCUAAAAUUUUGUAUUACCUUUAGGUCAGAGCUAUCCUCGUUUUGCAUUUCUUUGAGAUUCAGCCUUAUUUACUUUUGAUUGCCCACUCAAUAGAGGGUUGAGUAGAAAUAUUUGGUGAAGCAAGCUAAGCUAUCAAUCAAGGUGUGCAUAAUUAUUUAAAUGUAAUUCUAAUAUUAAAAUAAAAUUUUUAUUAAUAUAGUAUCAACAAGCAUUAAAUGUAAUCAUCAUAUACUAUUAAAUUUUCAAUAAGAGAAAACAAGCUUGAACUUUAAAAACGAUGUUACUAAAAACAUUAUCACAAAUCUUGAAAUAUAAAAAAUACUUUUUAAUAUAAUAAAAAAAUAAUUUUAAAACCGAGAUGAAUAAAAUUCUAAUUUUAAUUAAUGAUACCAACAACAAAUCAAUAUUUAAAUUAAAAUUUAUCUUAAUUUAAUAUAAUAAAAUUGGACUUGAAUAUUGAAUUUUUGAGUCUUGGGCAAAGUAGAGGUGCUCAUGGGCCGGGUUGGGUCGGGUUUGGGAAAAAUUUCGGCCCGCAUCCUAGGCUCGGGCUCGGCCCGACCCAAAUAUGGGCCUAAAAUUUUGUCUAGGCCUAGCCCGGCCCGGCCCAACUCAUUUUUUUUAAUAAACACCAAAAAUUUAUUUUGAAAAUAAAAAAAUAAAAAAAGUAUUUUAAAAAUAUUUUAAAAUUUUUAAAAAAUAUAUAUAUUUAUUAUAUAUUCGGGCCGGGCCAGGCCCGAGCCAAAAAAGUGGCGCCCAAGGCCCGGCCUGUUUUCUAAACGGGACUCAUUUUUUACCCAAACCCAUAUUUCGGGCCUAUAUUUCUACCCGAAUCUCUCAUAUUUAGGGCGAACCGUCGGGCCGGACCGGGCCGCCCGGCCAUGAACACCUCUAGGACAAAGUCACUCAAUGAAUGCAUGGAAAGAAAUAAUGCAACUUGGUGAUAGCUUUUGUUGGAGUUAUAUGCUUUUUUUUUACGUAGUGGAACUUUCGGUGGAUUUUCAAGUUUCAUGAACUUUAUACUCUAUGCUUUACGUGAAAAAAAAAAUUCAUUGGACUUAAAAGUCUACCAAAAGUUUCACUAAAAAAAAAACCAUUGCUACAAGAUUACAACAUAAAGUUACAAUAAGAGCUUAUAACUCAACAAAGGCUAUCAAUAAAUAAUCUCAAACAAAUUAAAGAGAAAUGUUGAGAGUACCACUCGAAUAGUGAUUAACUUUAAAAAUUGAAAACCCAAAGUUAUAAUAUCCCAAACGAAAUCAAACCAUAAACAUUAAAUUUUUCGAGUCUACUAGAUACUGCAAAAAAUUCAGCUCCAACAGACACCAAAUGAACCUAUGAUCGAAGAAAAUACGAAAACUAGUCUAGCUAAAUCAAGCUGCCAAACUUACUUUUUAUCUUAUCUUUAAUUUGCUGUGAAAUUCAAAACUAAGGUUUUGUACUUAGAACAACUUUCAAAAAGUUAAUUUUGAAAAAUGGAUUGAAUUUUCAAAAUAGAUGAUAUUUUAUUGUGUUAAAAUUUUAUUCGUUGUUUGAAAAAAAAUUUAAAUCAUUUUCUUAGAAUUAUUUUUAGUGAAACAAACAUAUCAUAAAUAUAUUUGUUAUAAAAUAUUUAUAUUAAUAUUUUCUUUUAACAAUUAAAAUAUAUUUUGUGAUAAGGUAUAUUUUAUAAUAAUUAAUAUCAUAUAUACUUAAUAAUAAAUCAUGUCUAAUUAAAAUUUAAUUUCAAUUAAAUAUAUUAAUAAAGCUACAUAUAAUCAUAUUUUAUAUAAUAAAAAUAUUAAUAUAAAUAUUUUUUUAAUAAUAUAUUAAAGAAUAUUUAAAAUUUAAAUUUAUUAUUACUAAGAUUAAUUAUUAAAAUAAAAAUGUAAUGUUAAAUAAUUUAUCCAAUGAUAAGUUAUAUUAAUAAUUUAUUAUAUUAUUAAAUAUAAAUAAUUAAAUAUGUAUGUUUAAUAAUAUUAUGUUAUAAUAUUUAUUAUUAAUAUUUUAAUAUUUUUAAACAACCAUGUUUUAAAGAUGGUGGUGAUGGUGAUGGUGCAGGCCCCCUUGUUACAAUUACAAUAUUUUUAAGUGGGAUGCAUGUAAUAUAUUGUUAGGGUUUUAGAGUGUGUGGUCUUUAAAAGGGUUAAAUUAUAUAUUUAUAUAAUAUGAUUAUUGUUUAUAAAUAUAAUAUUGUAGAUAAACUUUUAUGCAUGUCAAUAUGUAUCCUACUCUGGGGUUAAUAUGUAUUUUUAGAUAUGGAUUCACCUAUAUAAUAGUAUGAAUCCAUCAUGCGGUCUCAUGAAAUAUACAAACACAUAUCGUGCGAACACAAAGUACGAACAAUAAAAAGUACAAAUCAAGACCAAUUGAGUAAUUGAAUAGCAGAUAGGUAAUAAUGACUAUCCCCUCUUGUUUGAAUUUAUUUUAUUUCCAGUGAGUUAUCGUUUAUGAUAAAUUUACAACAAAUGUUUUUAUCAUUAUUUUGUUGGUAAAUGAUAAUAAGAUUAAACUUUACUUUCUUAAGCUCCUUCAAUUCUUUGGACGUUAGCAAGUAAACUUGAGCUUCAGCAUUCCACAAACACCUUAAUUUGAAGACACAGUUCUCCCAUACUAAAAACAACAUGGACGUUUACCUUGUAAUUAGAGAUUUGGGCUCAUUGUUAGGUUAUUAAUGAUACGGGGAUGGAGAGCUUUAAACUGGGUAUGGCUGGCCCCAAAGAGGCUCGAAACGUGCUUGAGACUAGAGGUCCAGGCAAAUUUUUAGGCCCAUUUUUUAGGCCUGGACUGGGCCCGACUCGAAAUAUGAGCUUAAAAAUUUGUCUAAGUUCGGUCCAAAAGAAAAUUGUUAAGCCUAAGCCCGGCCCAUAUUAAAUUUUACAACACCAAAAAACUAUAUAUUUAAUAUAUAUAUUUGAUUAAAAAGUAUAUUUAAUUAAAAAUAAAAAUAUAUAUUUAAUAUAUAAUUCGGGCCGGGCCGAACUCGGGCCAAAAAAGUUUUACUCGGGGCUGGUCCGUUUUCUAAACAGACCUCGUUUUUUUGUCAAAAUCCAUAUUUUAGGCUUAUAUUUUUACCCGAAACUUCCUAUUUUUCGGGUGAACCGUCAGGCCGGACUAGGUAGCCCAACCAAUGAUCACCUCUACUUGAGACAACAGGGUUUUGCAGGGAAUUCUUACAGGUUCGUUUCUGGCGACAUAAAAGAGCUCUUCACUAUAAGCAUACAAACAAGAGCCAAACCUAUGCCUCUUAGUGAUGAUAUUGGGCCUUAUGUUGUUCCUUUUCAACAUCAAACCGUCAAUCAGUAUGGUAUGUUUUUUAAUUUAAUCUGCAAUUUAUGAUAAUUCUUUGCUAUUUAUGUAUGGAAUUUAUUGGGAGGAAAUGCUGGGAAGAAUUCAUUUACGUGGAUUGGUCCAAGAUCAAGGGUGAACAUUACGGACCCGGAAAAAUAAGAGAAAUACUUAACAAAUUUAAUGACUUCCAGAAGGUACGUACCAAUCCACUGCUUAAUUUGCUUGUAAGCGGCCUUGUUAACCUCGAAGGAGACCGAUGGAGCAAGCAUAGAAAAAUCAUAACCCUUCAUUUCAUCAAGAUAAGUUGAAGGUAUAGAAUAGUGAUGGGUACUUAGACUUAAUUUACAGAAAACAUCAUACUUAAAUCUAUGCUUUUCUGAUUUAGAAAUGAUUGGAUGCAGAAUAUGUUGCCAGCAUUUUAUCAAAGUUGUUGUGACAUGUUAAGCAAAUGGGAGAAGAUGGUGUGUACAGAAGGAUACAGUGAGUUAGAUGUGUGGCCUUAUCUUGUAGAUUUGACAAGAGAUGUGAUUUCCCGAUCUGCUUUUGGAAGCAGCUUCGAAGAAGGCAGACGAAUUUUCCAAUUACUAGAGGACCAACUCGUUCUCACAAUCAAAUUAAUACAAACUGUUUACAUUCCAGGAUGGAGGUAACCCUCAACUUAAUUUACUUGAAAAAGGUUGCAAAUGUUGGAAUUGGCUAAAUUCGUGUUUGUUUUCUUGAAGGUUUUUGCCAACAAAGACAAACAGGGAGAUGAAGAUGAAACACAGACAUAAAAGAGUCGCUUAGGGAAAUGAUAAAGAGAAGGGAGAAGGCAAUUAAAGCAGGGGAAGAGAGCAAUGAGGACUUGUUGGACAUACUUGUGGAAUCCAAUAUCAGAGAAAUGGAAGCAAAGAAAAAGGGGAUGAGCAUUGAGGAUGUGAUUGAGGAAUGCAAGCUGUUUUACUUUGCUGGCCAGGAGACCACUUCGGUCUUGCUGGUGUGGACUAUGGUUUUAUUAGCAAGGUAUCCCGAUUGGCAAAGUAAAGCAAGAGAGGAGGUUUUGCAUGUUUUGGGUGACAGUAAACCUGAUGCUGAUGGCCUUAAUCGUCUCAAAGUUGUAAGUCCCUAGCAUGUCUCUUGAAGGUCCGAUCUCUGAGGUCGACAACUCAAAAACUUGGUUUCUUUGUUUCGCUAAUUCUACAGUUAACAAUGAUAUUGUACGAGGUUCUAAGGCUGUACCCACCAGUGAUUGAGCUAGGACGUUCCGUUCCAAAAGAAAUAAAACUGGGAAAUUUGUUGUUACCAGCAGGAACAGACGUUUCGGUUCCAAUCCUGCAGAUCCACCAUGACAAAGAUCUUUAGGGCGACGACGCACGGGAAUUUAAGCCACAGCGGUUCACGGAAGGGGUUUCCUAAGCAACAAAGAGUCAAGUCACGUUUCUGCCAUUCGGAUGGGGUCCUAGGAUCUGCAUUGGCCAAAACUUUGCCAUGAUGGGAACCAAAAUGGCGAUGGCUAUGAUUCUCCAACGCUUCUGGUUCGAGCUUUCCUCUUCCUAUGCUUACUCUCCUUACAACAUGGCAACUCUUCGUCCACAGCAUGGUGCACAGAUAAUUUUACAAAAACUUGGCUGUAAUUGAAUUGUUAUGUAAACAAAUCUUUGUGAAAAUAUAGUGUUUUAGUGUAUCGUCAAAGUCUGCCUGUAAUGGUACAAUUCCGAUGCAUGAAUAGUAAAUCUUGAGAUGUUUGGUGAAGUCCGAAAUAAUAUGCAGAAAUUGAGUGUCUUGAAUGGAUGUAGUAUUUAAUGGUGGACAUAGUUGAGGGACUAAUGUGGUAAUUAUCAAACAAAUAAUUGCAUAUGGUACAAAGACUUGUAUGGAAAUUAGAGCAGGGCGAGUUGAAAAUUACUACUUUGCUUCGGGCAUCAAUUUAGAAAGAUUUAAAGUACAAAUGUAUUAUUAGUUUAAGGGAUUUGUUUUAAAGAAGGAAUGACAAUUAAACCUCAUGGUUGAUGUGUGGAAGGGAACCAAUGAUGGGAUGAUUACUCUUAGUGGUAAAAAAAAAAACUAUUAAGGUGGUUAUUAUAGUUGUUAUCACCGGCCCAAAAUUCGAAUAGGUUCAGGUCGGAUUAUAUUGAGCUUGUAGAUGAGUUUGCAUGAUAAUAGGUGUUCACAGAAAGAUAUCUAUAGUUUCCUACAAAGUCACAUGUGAGAUCGUGCAUUGGGACCGCAUAAAAAUGUUUUAUGUUUAGAAUAUGAUACGUGUCUAUGUGUAUGGAAUCUACCUAAUAUAUCAUAUUAAUUAAUAGUAUCAAUUGCGGAGCCAAAAAAUUAUUUCUGAGGGGUCAGAAUUAAAUUGUAUAUUUUUACAAAAAUAAAAAUUAAAUUUCACUAUUUUAAUAGUUUAUUUCUUUUUAAUUUUUAAAUGAUUAAAUUAAAUUUUUAUAAAUUUUUGGGAUCAAAGUACAAUUUUAUCAUUUCUAAUUUAAAAUUUUAUAAAAUAUAAAAAGUUUAUAUGAAAAGUUUUCUAUUUUAGAGUGGCCAAAGCCCCUGCCAACUUCCGACUCGAUCACUAAACAAUAUAAAUAAAUAAAUACCACCAUCUAAAAGACUCAAGAAAAACACUCAACGAUAAAUAGAUAGAUGUUGGGUAAAGAUACGUUUGGAUGGGCGGUGCGUUUACUUGCGGUUAGUAUAAAAAUAGCGGUGGCGGUUAGAUUAGAUACUAUAGCAACACUGUAGCGUAAGACAAAAAAUAAGCUAAACGUACUGCACUGCACUUAAUCGCCCAUCCAAACUCACCCUAAGUGUACAAAAUAUGAUUUAAGUGAAGAUACGUAGGGUAGGUGUCAUGGAAAUGUAAAAGACAAGAAUCCCACUAAUGUAUGGGAUGUGUACAGCUGAAUGUAGGGAGCAAAGAGGAGUGAAUCAUUUUGGUAACAUUUGGACAAGAAACAUAAUGAACAAAAUGAAAGGAGAGGAAGCUAGUAAAAGAUUUUUUUGAGUUAUAUAAUUUGUUUGGCAUAUAUUUUUAUAAUUUUUAAAUAUCAUUUUGGAGUUGAAUUAUAAUUUCUUUUUAUGUUUUAAAACAUAAUUAUUCUAUCUUCAAAGGGUUAGAGUAGAGGUGAGCAUGGGUCGGGCUACUCGGCCCGAAAUGUGAGAGAUUUGGGCAAAAAUAUAGGCUCAAAAAAUGGACUUGGACAAAAAAAUAUAAGACCCGUUGAAAAAUGGGCCGGGCAUUGGGUAAGGCAUUUUUGGCCCUGGGCCCGGCCCAAUCCUAAUUCACUAAAGGACAAAAAAAAUUUGAUUUUUAAAUAUUAUUUUCUUCCUAUUUUGCUACCAUUUUACUAUUAUGUUGCUACUAUUUUGUUGUUAUUUUUUGGAUAUUGUAUAAAACUUAUUUUAUUGUUAAUUUUGUUAUUAUUUUAAAGACAUUUGUUAAUUUUGUUAUUAUUUUAGAGACAUUUGCUUGUUAAGUUGUAUCUAUCUUAGUGUUAUUUAAGUGUACAUAUUUUUUAAAAUUUAUUUUCAAUUUAUUGGGAAAUAUUUAUUUUGAUGUUUUUAGUAUUUUGGAUGUAUUAUAUAUAUUAAAAUUAUAUAAAAAUUAAUAUGGCCGAGCCGAGUCAGGCCCAGAUUUUAGCAUUUUUAUUCAGGUCGGGCUUGAGCAAAAUUUUAAGCCCAUUUUUUGGGCCAAACCAGGCCUGGGCUUAGCAAAUGGGCCUAAAUUUUUAGUCAAGCCCGACCUAAACCCGAUCCGGCCCAUGCUCACCUCUAGAUCAGAGCUGCCCUCGCUUUGCAUUUCUUUGAGAUUCAGUCUUAUCUACUGUUGAUUGCCCACUCAAUGGAGGGUUGAGUAGAAAGAUUUGGUGAAGCAAGCUAAGCUAUCAAUCAAGGUUGGAGAAAGCUUAGGAGGUCACAAUGCAUAAUUAUUUAAAUGUAAUUCUAAUAUUUAAAUAAAAUUUAUUAAUAUAGUAUUAACAAGCCCUAAAUGUAAUGAGUAUAUACUAUUACAUUUUUAAGAAGAGAAAACAUGUUUGAACCUUAAAAACAUCAUUAUUAAAAAUGAUAAUUACAAAUUUUAAAAUAUAAAAAAUAUAAUUAAAAAUUAAUUUUAAACCCGAGCUGGAUAAAAUUCUAAUUUUAGAUAACGAUACUAAUAAGAAAUCAAUAUUAAAAUGAAAAUGAAAAGUAAUUUAAUAUAAUUUUUGAGUCUUGGGCAAAGGCACUCAAUGAAUGCUUGGAAAGAAAUAAUGCAACUUGGUGAUAGCUUUUGUUGGAGUAGUAUGCUCUUAUUAUAGUUUUAUGUUUUUAUCUUGCAAAAACAACAUAUUGGAGUUUUCGGCAUGAUUUUUUCUUAAUACUUUACAUGAAAAAUAAUAAUGGGACUUAAAAAUCUAUCAAAAGCUUCACCAUAAUAAUAAUAAUAAUAAUAAUAAUAAUAAAUUGCUACAAUAUUACAACACAAAGUUACAAUAAGAGCUUAUAACUCAACAAAGGUUAUCAAUAAAUAAUCUCAGGCAAGCUAAAGAGAAAUGUUGAGAAUACCACCCGAAUAGUGACUGACUUUAAAAGUUGAAAACCCGAAGCUAUAGUAUCUCAAACGAAAUCAAACCAUUAACAUUAAAAUUUUCAAGUCUACUAGCUACUGUAAAAAAUGCAGCUCCAACAUACACCAAAUGAGUCUUUGAUCGAAGAAAGUACAAAAACUAGUCUGGGUAAACCAAGCUGCCAAACUUACUUAUCUUAUCUUUAAUUUUGCAGUGAAAUUAAAAAUUAAGUUUUUGUUUAUUUCACUUGGAACAACUUUCAAAAAAUUAUUUUUGAAAAAUGGAUUGGUUUUUCGAAAUAGAUGAUAUUUUAUUGUGUUAAAAUUUUAUUCGUUGUUGGAAAACUUUUUUUAAAUCAUUUUCUUAAAGUUAUUUUUAGUGAAACAAACAUAACAUAAAUAUAUUUGUUACAAAAAAAUUAUAUUAGUAUUUUCUUUUGACAAUUAAAAUUUAUUUUAUGAUAAGACAAUAUUUUGUAAUAAUUAAUAUCAUAUAUAUAUACGUAAUAAAAAAAUCUUGUUUAAUUAAAAUUUAAUUAAAAUUAAAUAUAUUAAUAAAGCUACAUAUAAUCAUAUUUUUUAUAAUUAAAAUAUUAAUAUAAAUAUUUUUCAAUAAUAUAUUAAAAUAUUAAAAUUUAAAUUAUUAUUACUUAAAUUAAUUAUUAAAAUAAAAAAUUUAAUAUUAAAUAAUUUAUUCAAUGAUAAGUUUUAUUAAUAAUUUAUUGUAUUAUUAAAUAUAAUUAAUUAAAUAUGCAUAUUUAAUAAUAUUACGUUAUAAUAUUUUAAUAUUCUUAAACAGCCAUGUUUUUAAGAUGCUGGUGAUGGUGAUGCUGCGGGCCUCUCUUGUUACAAUUACUAUAAUUUUUUGUGCAAUAAUUGAAGUUGUUGGGUGGUCAAGCAAACCUCUUUUGACUGAGAUGCAUAUAAUAUACCCGCAUGUCCCCGCCUCCUAAAAUUUAAAUUUGUUAUUUGAAUCUUUAAAUUUUUUAAUAUAAUAUACCCGCAUGUCCCCGCCUCCUAAAAUUUAAAUUUGUUAUUUGAAUCUUUAAAUUUUUUAAAAAUUUUAAAUUCAUAAAAGUAAAAUUAUACUUUGACCCUCUAAAAUUAUAAAAAUUUAAUUAAUCUUUUAAAUUCAUUGGGCCCCUAAUAUAUUGUUCAGGCUUCACCCUUGAUACUGAUGUUGACUAUUUUAGAGUAUGUGUCUUCUUUAACAGGGUUAAAUUAUAUAUUUAUAUAAUAUAGUUAUUGUUUAUGGACGUGACAUCGUAACUAGGUUCUUAUGCAUGUCAACAUAUAUCCUAUUUUAAGGUUAACACGUAUUUUUAAAUGUGAAUUCACCUAUAUAAUGGUAUGAACCAUCAUGCAGUCUCAUAAAAUAUGCGAAUAUAUGUCGUGCGAACACAAAGUACAAUCCACACAGAAUACGAAUUAAGACCCAAUUGAAUAAUCGGAUACGAAUCAGUAAUAAUGAAUUUCAUAACAGCCACCAACCCCUCUUUUGUUUUAAUUUAUUUUAUUUCCAGUAAGUUAUUGUUUGUGAGAAUUCACAACAAAUGCUUUUGUCAUUAUUUUGUUGGUAAAUAAUAAUAAGAUUAAACUUUACUUUCUUAAGCUCCUUCAAUUCUUUGGAAGUUGGUGGUUUUUUAUUCUAAUCUUAUUUUUUUUAUUAAUUUCUUUUUUUAUAAUAAAUGUGUUUAUAGAUCAGGUUGGAUUAUAAUUGAAUCAUUGUCUGGUAUUAACAUAAUUUAAAUCGAUUAAAAUUUAUUCGACUGGAAAUAUAAAUUUAAAAUUUUACUUCAAUUUAUCUUAAUUUAUAAAUUGUGAAUUUAAAUUUAUUUAUUUUCUCUCAUUAUAUUCAGUUUUUCGGAUCAUAUUUGGCCCAGAACAAAAACUAGAACAAAAAAACAAAUAUAUAUGUUUUCCAAAAAUUAAAUUGUUAACUUUAAAAAAAUAUAUUUUUAGCUAUUUAUCAUCAUAGAGAAAAACAAAUAAGGUCACCUCGCCUUAUGCUUCAACACCUCAACCUAGAUUCUCAUCACCUGUAUUUAUCAUCGAUUCAGAUUUUUAUUUUUACUAUAUUCUAGAUCUACCUAUAAAUAUAUCUUCAAACUUCCUCUGGUUAAGUUCAUUCAUAGAUAGGUGAGUAAACUUGAGCUUCAGCUUCAACAAACACCUUAGUUUGCAAUUCUCUCAUACUAAAAAUAUGGAAGUUUACCAUGUAAUUAGAGAUUUGGUCUCAUUGCUUGUUGUUGGUUUAUUAAUGAUAUGGGGAUGGAGAGCUUUAAACUGGGUAUGGUUGGCCCCAAAGAGGCUCGAAAGGUGCUUGAGACAACAGGGUUUUGCAGGGAAUCCUUACAGGUUCCUUUCUGGUGACAUAAAAGAGCUCUUAACUAUGAGCAGACAAACAAGAGCCAAACCUAUGCCUCUUAGUGAUGAUAUUGGGCCUUAUGUUGCUCCUUUUCUUCAUCAAACUGUCAACCAGUAUGGUAUGUUUAAUUAUUAUUUAAUCUUCAAUUUAUGAUAAUUCUUUGUUAUUUAUGAAUGGAAUUUAUUGGGAGGAAAUGCAGGAAAGAAUUCAUUUACGUGGAUUGGUCCAAGACAAAGGGUGAACAUUAUGGACCCUGAAAAAAUAAGAGAAAUAUUUACCAAAUUUAAUGACUUCCAGAAGGUGCGUACCAAUCCACUGCUUACUUUGCUUGUAAGCGGCCUUGUUAACCUCGAAGGAGACCGAUGGAGCAAACAUAGAAAAAUCAUAAACCCUUCAUUUCAUCAAGAUAAGUUGAAGGUAUAGAAUAGUGAUGGGUACUUAAGACUUAAUUUACAGAAAACAUGAUACUUAAAUCUAUGCUUUUCUGAUUUAGAAAUGAUUGGAUGCAGAAUAUGUUGCCAGCAUUUUAUCAAAGUUGUUGUGACAUGUUAAGCAAAUGGGAGAAGAUGGUGUGUACAGAAGGAUACAGUGAGUUAGAUGUGUGGCCUUAUCUUGUAGAUUUGACAAGAGAUGUGAUUUCCCGAUCUGCUUUUGGAAGCAGCUUCGAAGAAGGCAGACGAAUUUUCCAAUUACUAGAUGACCAACUCGUUCUCAGAAUCAAAUUACUACAAACUGUUUACAUUCCAGGAUGGAGGUAACCCUCAAUUUACUUGAAAAAGGUUGCAAAUGUUGGAAUUGGCUAAAUUCGUGUUUGUUUCCUUGAAGGUUUUUGCCCACAAAGACAAACAGGGAGGUGAAGAUGAAACACAAAGACAUAAAAGAGUCGCUCAGGGAAAUGAUAAAAAGAAGAGAGCAGGCAAUUAAAGCAGGGGAAGAGAGCAAUGAGGACUUGUUGGACAUACUUGUGGAAUCCAAUAUCAGAGAAAUGGAAGCAAAGAAAAAGGGGAUGAGCAUUGAGGAUGUGAUUGAGGAAUGCAAGCUGUUUUACUUUGCUGGCCAGGAGACCACUUCGGUCUUACUGGUGUGGACUAUGGUUUUAUUAGCAAGGUAUCCCGAUUGGCAAAGUAAAGCAAGAGAGGAGGUUUUGCAUGUUUUGGGUGACAGUAAACCUGAUGCUGAUGGCCUUAAUCGCCUCAAAGUUGUAAGUCCCUAGCAUGUCUUUUGAAGGUCCGAUCAAUAAGGUCGACAACUCAAAAAUUUGGUUUCUUUUUUCGCUAAUUCUACAGUUAACAAUGAUAUUGUACGAGGUUCUAAGGCUGUACCCAUCAGCGACUGAGCUAGGACGUUCCGUUCCAAAAGAAAUAAAACUGGGAAAUUUGUUGUUACCAGCAGGAACAGAAAUUUCGGUUCCGAUCCUGCUGAUCCACCAUGACAAAGAUCUUUGGGGCGAUGACGCACGGGAAUUUAAGCCAGAGCGGUUCGCGGAAGGGGUUUCCAAAGCAACAAAGAGUCAAGUCACGUUUCUGCCAUUCGGAUGGGGUCCUAGGAUCUGCAUUGCCCAGAAUUUUGCUAUGAUGGAAGCCAAAAUGGCGGUGGCCAUGAUUCUCCAACGCUUCUGGUUCGAGCUUUCCCCUUCCUAUGCU